This 260-nucleotide long non-coding RNA is filed under the name Xyrichtys novacula (pearly razorfish). The record is from RNAcentral. Lineage: Eukaryota; Metazoa; Chordata; Actinopteri; Labriformes; Labridae.
GGUUAGGGUUGGGCUUGGAGCUAGGAUUUUUCUGAGUGCAAUGAACCAACUCCCGAGUCUCUAGGACGUUCCUAAAAAAAAUAGAUUUUUUUCCCAUAGGAAUGCAUGGGUUAGGGUUAGGGUUAGGGUUGGAGCUAGGGUUAGGGUUAGGGUUAGGGUUGGAGUUAGGGUUAGUGUUGGAGCUAGGGUUAGGGUUGGGCUUGGAGCUAGGAUUUUUCUGAGUGCAAUGAACCAACUCCCGAGUCUCUAGGGCGUUCCUA